This 905-nucleotide long non-coding RNA is filed under the name Balaenoptera musculus (blue whale). RNAcentral's name for it is "lncRNA (ENSBMSG00010007371.1)". Lineage: Eukaryota; Metazoa; Chordata; Mammalia; Artiodactyla; Balaenopteridae. The record is from RNAcentral.
GCCGGGCGCGCGGGCCGAGAGGGGGACGUUUUCUGGCGCGGACCGCCAGCGGAGGCUGCGAGCGCCGCCGCAGGAGAAGACUGACGCUCAGCCGGAGCCAGCCCGCGGCGCCCGGGCCUGGCCGGCUGCCUCCCUUCACCUCAGCCGCCGCUGCCGCAGGCACUGCCAAGGCGGGCGCAGAGGAACGCUCGGCCACUCGGCCCUGCCCGGGCCGGCGCGGCCCGGAGCCGCGGCGCGGGAGGUUCCCCAGGAAGCCAUCACACUUUCCUUCUCACUGUGGUUUUGGGAGCAUGAAGGCGUUGCUUACUCCCUUUGUCUGGUUCACUGUAUGUAGGCUGGGAGUGUCUGCUGAUGCCUUGGAGUGCUGUCUCCUAGAACAGGAGGAAUAAGAUUGAGCAGAUAUUUAUGGAACACAUAUGUGUCAGCUGAAGAGGAGACACUGACCUUGGCUUCUAAGAUUCUGCACUAUCCUGAUUCUCUGCCUGCCUCUCAGAUGUUUAAAAACCCCUUCCUUUUUCCUCCUGGAUGUGGAUGUAACCCAGCUGCCUCCAUAGAGAAUGAAAUGAAUCUUUCAUUUGCUCCCCUCAGCAGUGGCCUAGGGCUUUACUCCUACUUAUUCAAAACUCCUGGGACUGGCUCUGCAGGGAUGUGCUUCUCAGAGACCUCUUGGAUGAAGGGCAUAAGCCAGGGAAGCUUUACAAGGCGGGCAGUGUACACAAGGAACCUCAGCCCUUGGCUAUUUUAAAGAGGAUGUGGAUAGCAGAGAUUCAGUGGUAAAAGUGAAAAUUUGACUUUGCAAAUGUAGUAUUAACUUCAGUUAUUGAGAAAAUUUGCCCUUGAUGGUUAAUUACAUUUAUAAAAUAACCUGUGUGUAUCAUUUAUAUAUCAGAUUGAUUUUGUUUUUU